RNAcentral lists this ribosomal RNA (548 nucleotides) under uncultured Glomeromycotina. RNAcentral describes it as "SSU rRNA". It matches the Rfam family "Eukaryotic small subunit ribosomal RNA", at positions 548 to 1097 of the family's 1831-position model. Lineage: Eukaryota; Fungi; Glomeromycota. The record is from RNAcentral.
UUGGAGGGCAAGUCUGGUGCCAGCAGCCGCGGUAAUUCCAGCUCCAAUAGCGUAUAUUAAAGUUGUUGCAGUUAAAAAGCUCGUAGUUGAAUUUCGGGAUCAUCAGGUUGGUCGUGCCUCUGGUAUGUACUUUCCUCGAUGGUUCCUCCUUCUUGAAGAACCGUAAUGCCAUUAAUUUGGUGUUGCGGGGAAUCAGGACUGUUACUUUGAAAAAAUUAGAGUGUUUAAAGCAGGCAAUCGCUUGAAUACAUUAGCAUGGAAUAAUGAAAUAGGACGUUCGAUCCUAUUUUGUUGGUUUCUAGGAUUGACGUAAUGAUUAAUAGGGAUAGUUGGGGGCAUUAGUAUUCAAUUGUCAGAGGUGAAAUUCUUGGAUUUAUUGAAGACUAACUACUGCGAAAGCAUUUGCCAAGGAUGUUUUCAUUAAUCAAGAACGAAAGUUAGGGGAUCGAAGACGAUCAGAUACCGUCGUAGUCUUAACCAUAAACUAUGCCGACUAGGGAUCGGAUGAUGUUAAUUUUUUAAUGACUCAUUCGGCGCCUUACGGGAAA